UCAAUUUCUCAAAUUCUAAGAUGAUAAUGAUAUUGAUUAUUGGUGUGAGUUAGUAUUGAAUCGGUGUAUGAUAAAGGCGUGUUAUGAAGAGACAGUGGAAUUCCUUGAUAUUAUUGAUAUUCUGUGAUAUCCCUUGAUAUUCUUCCAUAUUCUUUGAUAUCCCUUAAUAUUCGUUGAUAUUCGUUGACAUUCUUUGACACUCUUUGAUAUUCCUUGAUAUCUUUUCGAUAUUCCUUAAUAUAUUCCUCGAUAAUCCUUAACAUUCCUUGAUGCUCCUUGAGAUUUCUUGGAUUCUUUCCAUCUGAUUGGGAUGAACAACCCUAUGUAUAGGGGACACAAGGUAUACCUGUCUGUGUGAUAGGAGUUGGAUGGGACGCCAUCACUUGUGUGUGUUGUGAUUACAAGAAGGUUAAAAACCUUUAGUAGUGUCUAAUAUGGACACGCAACAUGAAGUUCAUUUGAUCGUAUUGAUCUCCCAGUCACUCUUGUAUUCCAAUGUGACCUAUUUUGAAAAUAUCUUGUUCCUCCGAAAUUCCCAAAGAUUGAUUCUUGGGAAAUGAAGUUUGCAAUUGUGAAGGUUUUGAUUCUCCUAUUUCUUUAACUUUGAAGGGUAUGCCAAAGUUGAGCAAAGGCGGACGAGCAUGUGAUAUUAUGAAGCGUGUACAAUGAUCUUAUAAAUGAUACGUUUUAGUUCUCAUCGCGGAUUCUGAGGACAGAAUCCUUAUAAGGGGGUGGAAUGUAAUAUCCCAUAUUAUUAAAUUUAGAUUUGAUUAUUAUAAAUCUAUUUGUCUAGAUAUUAUUGUUGUCUGUAGUUGAAUAUUGAUGUGAUUAUGUGAAAUAGUUGUAUGUGAUUAUACUUGUUUCAUGGAUUAAUAUGGAUUUUACAGAUUUUUCGUCCUCCUUCUUUCUUUGAUUCCGAGGACGGAAUCCCUAUAAGGAGGGUAGAUUGUAAUGACCCGGAUUUUUAAAAAUUUUUAUUAGUAUUAAAAGUGAUUUUCUUUAAAGAAGGGUCGAUAAUCCCUAAUAUUCUUGAUGCUCCUUGAGAUUUCUUGGAUUCUUUCCAUCUGAUUGGGAUGAACAACCCUAUGUAUAGGGGACACAAGGUAUACCUGUCUGUGUGAUAGGAGUUGGAUGGGACGCCAUCACUUGUGUGUGUUGUGAUUACAAGAAGGUUAACAACCUUUAGUAGUGUCUAAUAUGGACACGCAACAUUAAGUUCAUUUGAUCGUAUUGAUCUCCCAGUCAUUCUUGUAUUCCAAUGUCACCUAUUUUGAAAACAUCUUGUUCUAUUCGAAAAUUCCCAAAGAUCGAUUCUUGGGAAAUGAAUUUUGCAAUCGCGAAAGUGUGAUUUUCCUUUUCCAUUAAAGUCAAAGGUAUGCCAAGAUCAAUCGAAGGUGGAUGACGAUAUGAUAUUACGAAGUGUGUACGUUUUAGUUUCUUCGGAGGAUUCCGAGGACGGAAUCCUUAUAAGGGGGGUAGAAUGUAAUAUCCCAUAUUAUUAAAUUUAGAUUUGAUUAUUAUAAAUCUAUUUGUCUAAAUAUUAUUGUUGGCUUUAGUUGAAAAGUGAAUUGAUUAUGUGAAUAGUUUUAUGUGAUUAUACUUGUUAUGUGGAUUAAUAUGGAUUUUACAGAUUAUGCGUCCUCCUUCUUUCUCUGAUUCCGAGGACGGAAUCCCUAUAAGGAGGGUAGAUUGUAAUAACCCGGAUUUUAAAAAUAUUUUUAUUAAUAUUAUAAAUGAUUUUCUUAAAAAGAAAGGAAUAAGAUUUAAUAUUUUAUUCCAGUUUAAUGAGUUUUCAAG
Molecule: long non-coding RNA, 1797 nt
Filed under: Daucus carota (carrot)
Lineage: Eukaryota; Viridiplantae; Streptophyta; Magnoliopsida; Apiales; Apiaceae
Description: long non-coding RNA (DCAR_LNC005491)
Source: RNAcentral